CCCUUAGAUGUCCUGGGCCGCACGCGCGCUACACUGAUGCAUUCAACGAGUAUUUCCUUGGCCGAGAGGCCUGGGCAAUCUUUUAAACCUGCAUCGUGAUAGGGAUAGAUUAUUGCAAUUAUUAAUCUUGAACGAGGAAUUCCUAGUAAACGCAAAUCAUCAAUUUGCAUUGAUUACGUCCCUGCCCUUUGUACACACCGCCCGUCGCACCUACCGAUUGAAUGGUUUAGUGAGAUCUCUGGAUUGACGCUGGCUAGGGGGCGACCCUUGGCCAGACUGUUGAGAAACUGCUCAAACUUGAUCAUUUAGAGGAAGUAAAAGUCGUAACA
RNAcentral lists this ribosomal RNA (329 nucleotides) under uncultured eukaryote. Its description in RNAcentral is "partial 18S ribosomal RNA". It matches the Rfam family "Eukaryotic small subunit ribosomal RNA", at positions 1470 to 1796 of the family's 1831-position model. The record is from RNAcentral.